GAAAUAAAACAUUUUGACUUUAUAGGACUAACGGUAAUCAGAGUACCAAAGAGAACAGUAAGACAACAAAUCGCCCUAGUUGGAUUUUGAGUACUUGUCUGACUUCAGAAACGUCUGUGAAAAGUGCGGACCACAAACUUCCUCUGCUAGAACUAGAGGAAGCUUUGGAAGUAGCUAAAAACAACCUUCAGCAGAUGAAGACUACGGAGGAGGUAGACCANGAAGUUCUAUGUCUCAGCUUGGUGUACAG
RNAcentral lists this long non-coding RNA (250 nucleotides) under Salvator merianae (Argentine black and white tegu). RNAcentral's name for it is "lncRNA (ENSSMRG00000012204.1)". The record is from RNAcentral. Lineage: Eukaryota; Metazoa; Chordata; Lepidosauria; Squamata; Teiidae.